RNAcentral lists this transfer RNA (72 nucleotides) under Bos taurus (domestic cattle). It matches the Rfam family "tRNA". Rfam says of the family: Transfer RNA (tRNA) molecules are approximately 80 nucleotides in length. Their secondary structure includes four short double-helical elements and three loops (D, anti-codon, and T loops). Lineage: Eukaryota; Metazoa; Chordata; Mammalia; Artiodactyla; Bovidae. The record is from Rfam by way of RNAcentral. RNAcentral also lists the same sequence under 2 other names.
UCCCUAGUGGCUCAGUUGGUAAAGAGUCUGCCUGCAAUGCAGGAGACUUAGGUUCGAUCCCUGGUCAGGAAG